RNAcentral lists this ribosomal RNA (714 nucleotides) under uncultured bacterium. RNAcentral describes it as "bacterial SSU rRNA". It matches the Rfam family "Bacterial small subunit ribosomal RNA", at positions 239 to 954 of the family's 1533-position model. The record is from RNAcentral.
GAUUAGGUUGUUGGUAAGGUAAAAGCUUACCAAGCCGAUGAUCCUUAGUGGGUCUGAGAGGAUGAUCCGCCACACUGGAACUGAGACAAGGUCCAGGCUUUUUGCCAGCAGUGGGGAAUUUUGGACAAUGGGCGAAAGCUUGAUCCAGUAAUAUUGCGUGAAUGAGGAAAGCAAAAAAGGUUUAAGAACUUUUGUUUUUAAACCGGUUGUAAAGUUAUUUCGUCAAUAAAGAUAAUGACUUUAAUUGAAAAAGAAGUCCCGGCAAAUUUCGUGCCAGCAGCCGCGGUAAUACGAAAGGGGCUAGCGUUAUCCGGAAUGAUUGGGCGUAAAGGGUUCGUAGGUUGUAUUUGUUGUUAUAAGUUAAAUUUUGAAUUUAUCUUUAAAAGUGCUUAUAAUACUCUUUUACUUGAGUAUAGAAGAGGAUAAUAGAAUUUCAUACAUAGGGGUAAAAUCCAAUAAUUUAUGAAGGAAUGCCGGUGGCGAAAGCGAUUAUCUGGGCUAUAUACUGACACUGAGGAACGAAAGCGUAGGGAGCAAACAGGAUUAGAUACCCUGGUAGUCUACGCCGUCAAAGAUGAGUGCUAAUAUUAGUUAUAUUAUCUAGUAUACGGCUAACGCGUUAAGCACUCCGCCUGGGGAGUACGAUCGCAAGAUUGGAACUCAAAGGAAUUGACCGGGGUCUACACAAGUGGUGGAGCAUGUGNUUUAAUGCGA